RNAcentral lists this ribosomal RNA (253 nucleotides) under uncultured bacterium. RNAcentral's name for it is "partial 16S ribosomal RNA". It matches the Rfam family "Bacterial small subunit ribosomal RNA", at positions 524 to 776 of the family's 1533-position model. The record is from RNAcentral.
UUCGGGGGAUGCAAGCGUUAUCCGGAAUUAUUGGGCGUAAAGCGUCCGUAGGUGGUUGGCCAAGUCUGCUGUCAAAGGGUGGGGCUUAACCUCAUAAAGGCAGUGGAAACUGGCGAGCUAGAGUGCGGUAGGGGUAGGGGGAAUUCCCAGUGUAGCGGUGAAAUGCGUAGAGAUUGGGAAGAACAUCGGUGGCGAAAGCGCCCUGCUGGGCCGGCACUGACACUGAGGGACGAAAGCUAGGGGAGCGAAAGGG